Molecule: long non-coding RNA, 671 nt
Filed under: Rosa chinensis
Lineage: Eukaryota; Viridiplantae; Streptophyta; Magnoliopsida; Rosales; Rosaceae
Description: sRNA RchiOBHm_Chr5g0048081
Source: RNAcentral
AUGAACCAAAUAAGUCUUAUUUCUCAUACUUUGAGACAUUAUAUUUGCAUAUCAAGACAGCAAUCAAAGUUAGGUUUGUAUUCAUACAUUAAAACAAACUAAAAAUGUUUUUAUGCUAUCAAUUUAUUGAGAAGUUUCAUGGCCCUUACAUCCACAUAUUGACAAAUAUAAAUUCACUUAAUUUGCAUCUGCACUCAAAUUGAUCUCUGUAGAUUCUGUCAUUCUUGAUGCACUUGUGGUACUUAAAUUGUCCUCAACAUCAUCGACUGGUAUUUGCUGUGGAUAUAAGAAAGGCUUUGGAGGUAUUUGGAGGCUCUCAAUUUCUCCUUCAAGCAUUUCUACUACUAUGCUCAUUGAAGGGCGUUCAAUAGGUUUCAUUUGUAUGCACCACAAUGCCACUAUGAUCAUCUUCUUUAUGAUUUUCAUUUCAUCUUCAGUGGCAUCUCCUAUUUCGAUCUCCUUCCCUUGAUUCAAUUGAUCAGCAACCCAUGUAGGAAAGUAGAUUUGGCUAAAUUCGCUUGAAUGACCUAUGGCUGCAUUCAAGUUCUUCCUUCUACCUGCCAUUUCCAACAUUAACAUUCCAAAACUAUAUACAUCUGCUUUGUAUGAUACACCUCCAAUGUUUUUGUAGAAUAACUCUGGAGCCAUGUAUCCUAUGGUUCCUCUUGCUG